RNAcentral lists this ribosomal RNA (324 nucleotides) under Triticum aestivum (bread wheat). Its description in RNAcentral is "partial small subunit ribosomal RNA". The record is from RNAcentral. Lineage: Eukaryota; Viridiplantae; Streptophyta; Magnoliopsida; Poales; Poaceae.
AUGGGAGCGAAGCUUUCCUGCUUCUCCAACCACGGAGGCAUCCUCUCGCAGCAGCCACACCAGCCGGCGCCUGUCAGGGUCAUUGCCGCCGACGGAUCGCUGAAGGAGCUCCCGGCCAGCCCACGCGUCACCGUCUCCAACGUGCUCGGCGGCAACGCCGCGUCCUUCUUCGUGUGCAGCUCCGACGCGCUCUACUUCGACCAGAGCCCUCCGGCGCUGGCAUCCGGGGAGGUACUCCAGGCGGGGCAGAUAUACUUCGUGCUCCCGGCGGCGUUGCUCUGGCGGCCGCUAUCCAGCGCCGAGAUGGCCUCGCUUGCGGUGUGA